RNAcentral lists this ribosomal RNA (497 nucleotides) under uncultured bacterium. RNAcentral describes it as "partial 16S ribosomal RNA". It matches the Rfam family "Bacterial small subunit ribosomal RNA", at positions 28 to 507 of the family's 1533-position model. The record is from RNAcentral.
GAUGAACGCUGGCGGCGUGCCUAAUACAUGCAAGUCGAGCGAACAGACGAGGGGCUUGCUCCUCUGACGUUAGCGGCGGACGGGUGAGUAACACGUGGAUAACCUACCUAUAAGACUGGGAUAACUUCGGGAAACCGGAGCUAAUACCGGAUAAUAUAUUGAACCGCAUGGUUCAAUAGUGAAAGACGGUUUUGCUGUCACUUAUAGAUGGAUCCGCGCCGCAUUAGCUGGUUGGUAAGGUAACGGCUUACCAAGGCAACGAUGCGUAGCCGACCUGAGAGGGUGAUCGGCCACACUGGAACUGAGACACGGUCCAGACUCCUACGGGAGGCAGCAGUAGGGAAUCUUCCGCAAUGGGCGAAAGCCUGACGGAGCAACGCCGCGUGAGUGAUGAAGGUCUUCGGAUCGUAAAACUCUGUUAUUAGGGAAGAACAAAUGUGUAAGUAACUAUGCACGUCUUGACGGUACCUAAUCAGAAAGCCACGGCUAACUACGUG